AAGUUAAACCUUCUAAACAGCAGGCCUGCCAGAAAUGAAAUACCUAUUCUAGUACAAACUACUUGUAGCUUCUACCUUUUCCCCUCUAGAGAGCUACGACUAAGCUUCUAUUCAUUUAAGAAACUGAAAUUCAAGAUGCUGAGUCACAUUCUUGAACAUUAUCGAAAUAAUCAGCCAAAGACAUCCUGGCAGAGGGUUGCUUUGGCAGUAGAUGAUAGCAAGGCUGGUAUUUAACAUUACUGCAGGAAACCAAAUGACGUUAUUGUGACUCACAGUUUGAGACUGCAAUACCUGAUGGAGUGCCUCUCCUGGCCUGAAUCUACCCAGACGCUAUGAUCAAUCUCUGAGGACUUCCUGAGCUCCACCACCAAAGACAGUCUGGAGGGUGGCAACAAGCAGAAGCCUUUUCAGUGCUGGCCCCCAUUUGUGGAAUGCAAUCCCUGCUGAGGCCUGGCUGGUGCCAACUCUGCUAUCUUUUUGACAUCAGGCCUGGGGAGAGCUGACACAGGAGAGGAGAAGGAGCACAAGAUGCUGAAGUCUAAUCUCAAAUUGGUGCCGUUUUACAGAAAUACAGCACUUGCAAAGAACAGCUCAAUCAAAUCAUAAUAAGGAAACACAAGAAUCAUCCCUUCCUCUGCUCCCCAAAAUCUCCAGCCUAGCACUUGCUAGUGAACAGCUGCUUAUCUACUCAUAGGAUAGCAAAUUGGAUAGAACUAAUGAUUCUGCAGCAACAUCACAUUCGGAACAAGCUCUCUGUACUGCUAUGCUGAAAACAGAAAUGGUUUGCACAGUUUUACAAGGGCAUCAUUCAAGCAAUUUCCAAGUUCAAAGGCUUGAAAAAUUGCAACCUGUAUUGACUAUAUGAAUUCGUGCAUAGGUCUCAUAAGGAAACUGCAGUAUAUAUUUCACAUAAGAGGAACUGGACAUGAAAAUUAAAGCACAUUCUUGGAAGAAGGCAGUAAGACAGCAAUAAUCAGGCAGCUAAGAAUUAGGCUGAUUUCCCAAGACCAGCCUAUUUGACUUGUACAUUCUCCAAUUUAAAUGAAAUGCUGCCCUUCUACUGUAGCGGCUAUACAAGAUUUUCAUUUGGAACCAGUGAAAUUAAAUACUAAUACUCUAAUUGAUAGAAAGCAAGAUCAUAGAGAAAAUCAGCUGAAAAGUAAAUUAACUGUGUGGU
This is a long non-coding RNA of Varanus komodoensis (Komodo dragon), 1177 nucleotides long. RefSeq lists it as uncharacterized. The record is from RefSeq and is a predicted model, not a curated record. The transcript has 4 exons. NCBI's taxonomy places the organism in Eukaryota, Metazoa, Chordata, Lepidosauria, Squamata, Varanidae.